Camelus dromedarius (Arabian camel) is the source of this 650-nucleotide long non-coding RNA. RefSeq lists it as uncharacterized. The record is from RefSeq and is a predicted model, not a curated record. The transcript is spliced from 3 exons. NCBI's taxonomy places the organism in Eukaryota, Metazoa, Chordata, Mammalia, Artiodactyla, Camelidae.
UCAUAGUAAAUGGAACAUGAUUGCAUAUUUAAAAAAAAAUAGUUUUCAUAGUGAACAGUAUAUGAUCAGGUAUAUGUUUAAUUAAUGCUUAAUACAUAAAUACUAUGUGGAUUUUAAAAUGCUGUACCUACUCACAGUUAUUUUAUAAUAUUUUAUUAUUUCAGCAAAGCAACAUACUGCAGUUCCACAGAGCAGUAUUCCAGCUUUCUUCACUGAAGAGUUUUCUGGCAGUUAAGGACUUACAGCAUGACAGCAUGUUCCAAAAAAGUUCUGGCUGAUCAGAACCCGCUGAGGCUCCAUCAUGGUCUUGCAGAUAUAAAUGGUGCUUCCUUAGCAGCCGGGGUGAGCACAUGAUCCAGUUCAGACCAACAAGGUUUAACAGAAGUGAGUUGAGACAUUCCAGGGAAACUUCUGAUUUUCUAAUUAAAUAAGAUGUAUGCAACUGGCUUGCUUCUUUCUCUUCCCCUCCCUUAACUUCUUCUGACUUACAUACGAAUGUGAAGGCUGAUGCUAUGGCAGCCAUCUUGGGAGAAUGAGAAGCAAGCAAAGAGGACCACAGAAAUAUCAUCCCUGAUCCUGAGCCAGCACUGCCUACCUUUACGUUCCUUUAUUUAUUUUAUGUUUUUGAAGAGAAAAAUAAAUAUACAUUA